RNAcentral lists this transfer RNA (66 nucleotides) under Mactra sp. WB-F. RNAcentral describes it as "tRNA-Phe". The record is from RNAcentral. Lineage: Eukaryota; Metazoa; Mollusca; Bivalvia; Venerida; Mactridae.
AAGAGGAGGGAGUAGCGUGGGGCUAAAACCCCUGUAAAUCUAAGGCUUAUUUCUCCUUUUCUUUUU